RNAcentral lists this ribosomal RNA (253 nucleotides) under uncultured bacterium. RNAcentral describes it as "partial 16S ribosomal RNA". It matches the Rfam family "Bacterial small subunit ribosomal RNA", at positions 524 to 776 of the family's 1533-position model. The record is from RNAcentral.
UACAGAGGGUGCUAGCGUUGUUCGGAAUCAUUGGGCGUAAAGGGCGUGUAGGCGGUUUGUUAAGUCAUGUGUGAAAUCCCUCGGCUCAACCGGGGAACGACGCAUGAAACUGGCAAGCUAGAGUACCAAAGAGGGGGGUGGAAUUCCCGGUGUAGCGGUGAAAUGCGUAGAUAUCGGGAGGAAGACCAGUGGCGAAGGCGGGUCUCUGGACAGUUCCUGACGCUGAGGCACGAAGGCCAGGGGAGCAAACGGG